GCUUCUGAUUUGAUUUUAUCUUGACAAAGAGUGGCGAACGGGUGAGUAACACGUGGGUAACCUACCUCUUAGCAGGGGAUAACAUUUGGAAACAAGUGCUAAUACCGUAUAAUACCAACAACCGCAUGGUUGUUGGUUGAAAGAUGGUUCUGCUAUCACUAAGAGAUGGACCCGCGGUGCAUUAGCUAGUUGGUAAGGUAACGGCUUACCAAGGCAAUGAUGCAUAGCCGAGUUGAGAGACUGAUCGGCCACAAUGGGACUGAGACACGGCCCAUACUCCUACGGGAGGCAGCAGUAGGGAAUCUUCCACAAUGGGCGCAAGCCUGAUGGAGCAACGCCGCGUGUGUGAUGAAGGGUUUCGGCUCGUAAAACACUGUUAUAAGAGAAGAACGGCACUGAGAGUAACUGUUCAGUGUGUGACGGUAUCUUACCAGAAAGGAACGGCUAAAUACGUGCCAGCAGCCGCGGUAAUACGUAUGUUCCAAGCGUUAUCCGGAUUUAUUGGGCGUAAAGCGAGCGCAGACGGUUAUUUAAGUCUGAAGUGAAAGCCCUCAGCUCAACUGAGGAAUGGCUUUGGAAACUGGAUGACUUGAGUGCAGUAGAGGAAAGUGGAACUCCAUGUGUAGCGGUGAAAUGCGUAGAUAUAUGGAAGAACACCAGUGGCGAAAGCGGCUUUCUGGACUGUAACUGACGUUGAGGCUCGAAAGUGUGGGUAGCAAACAGGAUUAGAUACCCUGGUAGUCACACGUAACGAUGAGUGCUAGAUGUUCGAGGUUUCGCCCUUGAGUGUCGCAGCUAACGCAUAAGCACUCGCUGGGAGUACGACGCA
This 829-nucleotide ribosomal RNA is filed under the name Weissella paramesenteroides. Its description in RNAcentral is "bacterial SSU rRNA". It matches the Rfam family "Bacterial small subunit ribosomal RNA", at positions 66 to 890 of the family's 1533-position model. The record is from RNAcentral. Lineage: Bacteria; Bacillati; Bacillota; Bacilli; Lactobacillales; Lactobacillaceae.